Molecule: ribosomal RNA, 1998 nt
Filed under: human gut metagenome
Description: bacterial LSU rRNA
Rfam family: Bacterial large subunit ribosomal RNA
Source: RNAcentral
UUAAGUUAAUAAGGGCGCACGGUGGAUGCCUUGGCACUAGAAGCCGAUGAAGGACGUGACUAACGACGAAAUGCUUUGGGGAGUUGUAAGUAAACAUUGAUCCAGAGAUGUCCGAAUGGGGGAACCCGGCAUGUGAAGCAUGUCACUCAUUACUGUUAAGGUAAUGAAGAGGAAGACGCAGUGAACUGAAACAUCUAAGUAGCUGCAGGAAGAGAAAGCAAACGCGAUUGCCUUAGUAGCGGCGAGCGAAACGGCAAGAGGGCAAACCGAUGUGUUUACACAUCGGGGUUGUAGGACUGCGUUGUGGGACGCAAGAUUAUAGAAGAAUUACCUGGGAAGGUAAGCCAAAGAGAGUAAUAGCCUCGUAAUCGAAAUAAUCUUAAACCCUAGCAGUAUCCUGAGUACGGCGAGACACGAGAAAUCUCGUCGGAAUCCGGGAGGACCAUCUCCCAACCCUAAAUACUCUCUAGUGACCGAUAGUGAACCAGUACCGUGAGGGAAAGGUGAAAAGCACCCCGGGAGGGGAGUGAAAUAGAACCUGAAACCGUGUGCCUACAACAAGUUCGAGCCCGUUAAUGGGUGAGAGCGUGCCUUUUGUAGAAUGAACCGGCGAGUUACGAUAUGAUGCGAGGUUAAGUUGAAGAGACGGAGCCGUAGGGAAACCGAGUCUUAAUAGGGCGCUUUAGUAUCAUGUCGUAGACCCGAAACCAUGUGACCUACCCAUGAGCAGGGUGAAGGUGAGGUAAAACUCACUGGAGGCCCGAACCAGGGCACGUUGAAAAGUGCUUGGAUGACUUGUGGGUAGCGGAGAAAUUCCAAACGAACUUGGAGAUAGCUGGUUCUCUCCGAAAUAGCUUUAGGGCUAGCGUCGAUGUUAAGUCUCUUGGAGGUAGAGCACUGUUUGAUUGAGGGGUCCAUCCCGGAUUACCAAUAUCAGAUAAACUCCGAAUGCCAAUGAGAUAUAAUCGGCAGUCAGACUGCGAGUGCUAAGAUCCGUAGUCGAAAGGGAAACAGCCCAGACCACCAGCUAAGGUCCCAAAAUAUAUGUUAAGUGGAAAAGGAUGUGGGGUUGCACAGACAACUAGGAUGUUAGCUUAGAAGCAGCUAUUCAUUCAAAGAGUGCGUAAUAGCUCACUAGUCGAGUGACCCUGCGCCGAAAAUGUACCGGGGCUAAAACAUAUUACCGAAGCUGUGGAUACCUAUUAUAGGUAUGGUAGGAGAGCGUUCUAUGUGUGAAGAAGGUGUACCGUGAGGAGCGCUGGAACGCAUAGAAGUGAGAAUGCCGGUAUGAGUAGCGAAAGACAGGUGAGAAUCCUGUCCACCGUAAGACUAAGGUUUCCAGGGGAAGGCUCGUCCGCCCUGGGUUAGUCGGGACCUAAGGAGAGACCGAAAGGUGUAUCCGAUGGCCAACAGGUUGAUAUUCCUGUACUAGAGUAUAUAGUGAAGGAGGGACGCAGUAGGCUAACUAAAGCGUGCGAUUGGAAGAGCACGUCUAAGCAGUGAGGUGUGAUAUGAGUCAAAUGCUUGUAUCUCUAACAUUGAGCUGUGAUGGGGAGCGAAGUUAAGUAGCGAAGUUAGUGAUGUCACACUGCCAAGAAAAGCUUCUAGCGUUAAUUAUACUCUACCCGUACCGCAAACCGACACAGGUAGUCGAGGCGAGUAGCCUCAGGUGAGCGAGAGAACUCUCGUUAAGGAACUCGGCAAAAUGGCCCCGUAACUUCGGGAGAAGGGGCGCUGGCUUUAAGUCAGCCGCAGUGAAUAGGCCCAAGCAACUGUUUAUCAAAAACACAGCUCUCUGCUAAAUCGUAAGAUGAUGUAUAGGGGGUGACGCCUGCCCGGUGCUGGAAGGUUAAGAGGAGCGCUUAGCGUAAGCGAAGGUGUGAAUUGAAGCCCCAGUAAACGGCGGCCGUAACUAUAACGGUCCUAAGGUAGCGAAAUUCCUUGUCGGGUAAGUUCCGACCCGCACGAAAGGCGUAAUGAUUUGGGCACUGUCUCAAC